This 684-nucleotide ribosomal RNA is filed under the name Mucor circinelloides. RNAcentral describes it as "partial large subunit ribosomal RNA". It matches the Rfam family "Eukaryotic large subunit ribosomal RNA", at positions 50 to 641 of the family's 3401-position model. Lineage: Eukaryota; Fungi; Mucoromycota; Mucoromycetes; Mucorales; Mucoraceae. The record is from RNAcentral.
GCGGAGGAAAAGAAAAUAACAAUGAUUUCCCUAGUAACGGCGAGUGAAGAGGAAAGAGCUCAAAGUUGGAAACUGUUUGGCUUAGCUAAACCGUAUUGUAAACUGUAGAAACAUUUUCCUGGCACGCCGGAUUAAUAAGUCCUUUGGAACAAGGCAUCAUGGAGGGUGAGAAUCCCGUCUUUGAUCCGAGUAGUUGUCUUUUGUGAUAUGUUUUCAAAGAGUCAGGUUGUUUGGGAAUGCAGCCUAAAUUGGGUGGUAAAUCUCACCUAAAGCUAAAUAUUUGCGAGAGACCGAUAGCGAACAAGUACCGUGAGGGAAAGAUGAAAAGAACUUUGAAAAGAGAGUUAAACAGUAUGUGAAAUUGUUAAAAGGGAACCGUUUGGAGCCAGACUGGUUUGACUGUAAUCAACCUAGAAUUCGUUCUGGGUGCACUUGCAGUCUAUACCUGCCAACAACAGUUUGAUUUGGAGGAAAAAAUUAGUAGGAAUGUAGCCUCUCGAGGUGUUAUAGCCUACUAUCAUACUCUGGAUUGGACUGAGGAACGCAGCGAAUGCCUUUAGGCGAGAUUGCUGGGUGCUUUCGCUAAUAAAUGUUAGAAUUUCUGCUUCGGGUGGUGCUAAUGUUUAAAGGAGGAACACAUCUAGUAUAUUUUUUAUUCGCUUAGGUUGUUGGCUUAAUGACUCU